GGGGGCUUAGCUCAGUCGGUAGAGCGCCUGCUUUGCAAGCAGGAUGUCGGGAGUUCGAAUCUCCCAGUCUCCAC
RNAcentral lists this transfer RNA (74 nucleotides) under Mycolicibacterium mageritense. RNAcentral describes it as "tRNA-Ala". It matches the Rfam family "tRNA". Rfam says of the family: Transfer RNA (tRNA) molecules are approximately 80 nucleotides in length. Their secondary structure includes four short double-helical elements and three loops (D, anti-codon, and T loops). The record is from RNAcentral. RNAcentral also lists the same sequence under 1 other name. Lineage: Bacteria; Bacillati; Actinomycetota; Actinomycetes; Mycobacteriales; Mycobacteriaceae.